GAUGAAGAACGUAGCGAAACGCGAUAGUUAAUGUGAAUUGCAGAAUUCAGUGAAUCAUCGAGUCUUUGAACGCACAUUGCGCCCCCUGGUAUUCCGGGGGGCAUGCCUGUCCGAGCGUCAUUGCUGCCCAUCAAGCGCGGCUUGUGUGUUGGGUCGCCGUCCGCCUUCCCCCCCGGGGGGAGGGGGACGGGCCCGAAAGGCAGCGGCGGCACCGCGUCCGGUCCUCGAGCGUAUGGGGCUCUGUCACCCGCUCUGGAGGCCCGGCCGGCGCCCGCCGACCCCCAACCUUCUUCUAACCAGGUUGACCUCGGAUCAGGUAGGGAUACCCGCUGAACUUAAGCAUAUCAAUAAGCGGAGGA
RNAcentral lists this unclassified non-coding RNA (359 nucleotides) under soil metagenome. Its description in RNAcentral is "partial contains 5.8S ribosomal RNA, internal transcribed spacer 2, and large subunit ribosomal RNA". The stretch from base 1 to 120 matches the Rfam family "5.8S ribosomal RNA", at positions 35 to 154 of the family's 154-position model. The record is from RNAcentral.